Molecule: transfer RNA, 71 nt
Filed under: Marmota monax (woodchuck)
Lineage: Eukaryota; Metazoa; Chordata; Mammalia; Rodentia; Sciuridae
Description: tRNA.Ala
Source: RNAcentral
UGGGGUGUGGCUCAGUGGCACAGUGUCUGCCCAGCAGGCACAAGGCCUGGGCUCCAUCCCUAGCACAGCAA